Molecule: ribosomal RNA, 253 nt
Filed under: uncultured bacterium
Lineage: Bacteria
Description: partial 16S ribosomal RNA
Rfam family: Bacterial small subunit ribosomal RNA
Source: RNAcentral
UACGGAGGGUGCAAGCGUUAUCCGGAAUCAUUGGGUUUAAAGGGUCCGCAGGCGGAUUUAUAAGUCAGUGGUGAAAGCCUAUUGCUCAACAAUAGAACUGCCAUUGAUACUGUAAGUCUUGAAUUCGGUCGAAGUGGGCGGAAUAUGACAUGUAGCGGUGAAAUGCUUAGAUAUGUCAUAGAACACCGAAAGCGAAGGCAGCUCACUAGGCCUGGAUUGACGCUCAGGGACGAAAGCGUGGGGAGCAAACAGG